CACAUAGGGUGCGAGCGUUGUCCGGAAUUAUUGGGCGUAAAGAGCUCGUAGGCGGUGUGUCGCGUCGGCCGUGAAAACCUGCAGCUUAACUGUGGGCUUGCGGUCGAUACGGGCAUCACUGGAGUUCGGCAGGGGAGACUGGAAUUCCUGGUGUAGCAGUGAAAUGCGUAGAUAUCAGGAGGAAUACCGAUGGCGAAGGCAGGUCUCUGGGCUGACACUGACGCUCAUGCACGAAAGCGUGGGGAGCGAACAGG
This 254-nucleotide ribosomal RNA is filed under the name uncultured bacterium. RNAcentral's name for it is "partial 16S ribosomal RNA". It matches the Rfam family "Bacterial small subunit ribosomal RNA", at positions 524 to 776 of the family's 1533-position model. The record is from RNAcentral.